This 1378-nucleotide ribosomal RNA is filed under the name uncultured bacterium. Its description in RNAcentral is "bacterial SSU rRNA". It matches the Rfam family "Bacterial small subunit ribosomal RNA", at positions 18 to 1394 of the family's 1533-position model. The record is from RNAcentral.
CCUGGCUCACGAUGAACGCUAGCGACAGGCUUAACACAUGCAAGUCGAGGGGCAGCACAGGUAGCAAUACCGGGUGGCGACCGGCGCACGGGUGAGUAACGCGUAUGCAACUUACCUAUCAGAGGGGGAUAACCCGGCGAAAGUCGGACUAAUACCGCAUGAAGCAGGGGCCCCGCAUGGGGAUAUUUGCUAAAGAUUCAUCGCUGAUAGAUAGGCAUGCGUUCCAUUAGGCAGUUGGCGGGGUAACGGCCCACCAAACCGACGAUGGAUAGGGGUUCUGAGAGGAAGGUCCCCCACAUUGGUACUGAGACACGGACCAAACUCCUACGGGAGGCAGCAGUGAGGAAUAUUGGUCAAUGGGCGUAAGCCUGAACCAGCCAAGUCGCGUGAGGGAUGAAGGUUCUAUGGAUCGUAAACCUCUUUUAUAAGGGAAUAAAGUGCGGGACGUGUCCCGUUUUGUAUGUACCUUAUGAAUAAGGAUCGGCUAACUCCGUGCCAGCAGCCGCGGUAAUACGGAGGAUCCGAGCGUUAUCCGGAUUUAUUGGGUUUAAAGGGUGCGUAGGCGGCCUUUUAAGUCAGCGGUGAAAGUCUGUGGCUCAACCAUAGAAUUGCCGUUGAAACUGGGGGGCUUGAGUAUGUUUGAGGCAGGCGGAAUGCGUGGUGUAGCGGUGAAAUGCUUAGAUAUCACGCAGAACCCCGAUUGCGAAGGCAGCCUGCCAAGCCAUGACUGACGCUGAUGCACGAAAGCGUGGGGAUCAAACAGGAUUAGAUACCCUGGUAGUCCACGCAGUAAACGAUGAUCACUAGCUGUUUGCGAUACAGUGUAAGCGGCACAGCGAAAGCGUUAAGUGAUCCACCUGGGGAGUACGCCGGCAACGGUGAAACUCAAAGGAAUUGACGGGGGCCCGCACAAGCGGAGGAACAUGUGGUUUAAUUCGAUGAUACGCGAGGAACCUUACCCGGGUUUGAACGCAUUUCGACCGCUCUGGAAACAGAGCCUCUAGCAAUAGCGAUUUGCGAGGUGCUGCAUGGUUGUCGUCAGCUCGUGCCGUGAGGUGUCGGCUUAAGUGCCAUAACGAGCGCAACCCUUGCCACUAGUUACUAACAGGUAAAGCUGAGGACUCUGGUGGGACUGCCAGCGUAAGCUGCGAGGAAGGCGGGGAUGACGUCAAAUCAGCACGGCCCUUACAUCCGGGGCGACACACGUGUUACAAUGGCGUGGACAAAGGGAUGCCACCUGGCGACAGGGAGCGAAUCCCCAAACCACGUCUCAGUUCGGAUCGGAGUCUGCAACCCGACUCCGUGAAGCUGGAUUCGCUAGUAAUCGCGCAUCAGCCAUGGCGCGGUGAAUACGUUCCCGGGCCUUGUACACACCGCC